This 235-nucleotide long non-coding RNA is filed under the name Hordeum vulgare. RNAcentral describes it as "long non-coding RNA (HVUL_LNC012626)". Lineage: Eukaryota; Viridiplantae; Streptophyta; Magnoliopsida; Poales; Poaceae. The record is from RNAcentral.
CGACCCUUUGCAUAGAGGGGGACGGGGGGUUUUAUAGACGAACCCACCGACCUACAAUAUGGAUAAAAGUACUAGAGUGGAACUCGGUUGGCAGCAUCGCCGGCUGGCCAGUGGGGUCACAAGGGUCUUGUCUUGUCACUGGAGGGGCCCGCUGGCUGCGAGGUCUUGUCUAGCUGUGGGACCCUCCGUCUAGCCAAUAAGGCUCUCGUGUAAGGUUGACGCAGGACACGUGUGG